Molecule: long non-coding RNA, 2769 nt
Organism: Panicum virgatum (switchgrass)
Lineage: Eukaryota; Viridiplantae; Streptophyta; Magnoliopsida; Poales; Poaceae
Exons: 4
Source: RefSeq, a predicted model, not a curated record
AGUACUCCCCGUCCCACGCUCCACUACCGACACCUGUUCCGUUUAAAAUCCCGGGCGUCGACGUGGCCGCGUGCGCAGCCACAAACCACCGCUCCCCGCCGCAAUUAACAACCCGCUAAUCAGCUCGGCGCGCCCCAAAUCCCCCGCUAAUCACCCUCUAAACCGCUCUCUCCUCCCUCCCUCCCUCCGCCAAAAAGCUAAUCCCCUCGCUUUUCCUAUCUCCACUUGGGGGGUUGGGGUUCUAGACUCGUCGAUUCGGUUUCGAUCCUUCUAGACAGUUCGCCGUGCCCGGCUAUAAAAGCCGGCACCUCCAGCGGCCAUCGAUCAACACAUCAGCACUAGCACGCAGCCCUUUGCUCAUUGGCCGGGGUUGGGGGUUCGAGACUCGUCGAUUCCAAGCUAUUGGCGUAAUGCAUGCGGUGGCACCAAGCAUGAGGCAGGAACUGCAUUACUUGCAAGGAAGUCACAAAAUCAAUUGGAAGAUCAUACUUGUGGCUUUCUUGCAAGUCGUGCAGUUGUUGCCUCAAGCUUGCUGCCUCCCUUUGCCAGAGCUACAAGUAAAAUAAGAAGUAUUCUCAGUUUCUGAGCUGCAAAAAAUAAUUUUGGAAAAACAAUCGAGAAAUGUAUUGCAUGAUAUAUGAAUAUGCUGCUAAAAGUUAAUCAAUACUCAUCGAUACUCACUAACUGCACAUGCUUUGCAUUUGGGGUUAACAUGCCUGGUUAAUUUACAUGCGAACAUUUGGAACUAUAAUGCUGCAAUUUAGUUAUACAGUAGACAUCUGAACAUUUAUGCUAUGGUCUUUGUUACUGUAAAUUUAAUCAAUACUGUUCCACUUCAUGCAAUGUUAACUAAGUUCAGGAGUUUGUAGCUGAUCAUUAUGUUGGAACAAUCAGUAGAGUAACAUUGUUGCAUUAUAGUCACCCAACCUGAUUUCAAGGUAAAUUGAGCUUAGUUUAUCUAUUUUCCUAAAGAAUGCUCUGUCUUGCAUUCUCUCAUGAGCAUUUGUAGUUCUGUGACAUUGUGAUGUUCUCUUCUUAAUAUAAUGAUAUGCAGCUCUCUUGAUUUUUCUAUGAAAAAAAACAUUGUGAUGUCUUCUUUUACAUUGUUGAUAUUCUGUUAGAGAAUAGUAUCAUAGUUCCAAAUCUAUAAAGCUUGAUAUUGCCUAACACAACGGUGGAGCAGCUAAGUGUAAAAGAGCAGAUACAUGUCAUAAUCUACAUUACCAUGUGGCCUGUAGGUGGUGAUCUGGUAUUUUUUGAUUAAAAGUUCAAUUUACUCCCCUCAAUUAUAGCCAAAGUUUGGAUAACCCCCUAAACUAUGAUUUUGUUCAAUUUACCCUCUAAACUAUGUCAUUUAGUUUAUUUUACCCCAUAACACAAUUUAUCUUUUUUGUUUCUCCUUACACAAGUUGAAUUUUAAUUUCAAAUUUUGCAGGGUAGUAGUGGACAUCACAAUGCAUAUUUAGAAAAAGUUUUAUAAUUUUUACCCAUUAUUUUUUAUAUAAUUUUGAACUCCAACGACUAAAUUAUUAUUAAAUAUACUAACCUAUCAAAAUAAUGAUAAAAAAAUAUGAUUUAGUUUUCUAACAUGUGUUAUGGUGUGUACUGUCAUGCUGUAAAAUUUCAACUUAAAACUCUACUUAUGCAUGAAGAAAUAAAAAUGACAAAUUACAGUAGGGGUAAUUUGAACCAAAUGAGAUAGUUUGAGGGGUAAAAUGAACCAAAUGAGAUAGUUUGCGGGGUAAAAUGAACCAAAAAAUAGUUUAGAGGGUUAUCCAGACUUUGGCUAUAGUUAAGGGGAGUAAUUUAGACUUUUCCUUAGAAAAGAAAAGUCAUCAGGAACGGACUGGCAUGGAAUGAUGCUUUGCAGGUGGUCUAGCACUGUAUAUACCUAAUACAGCUCUUCCAGCUGACAUGAAUCAUGAUACCAGUCUCAUACUAGUGUCAGUUACAUGGACUAAUUGUUCUGUUGUUCAAAUAUUUUGAUGUUCUUUAUCUUGUGCAAAUGACAGUUUCAGUUAAUUUCUUAACAGAUGUAUUUUAAAGGGUGCCAUAUCCUUUUGCGCCAGUUUCCGUAGCAGGGAUGGUUUGAACUAUCACUAUGUGCUCUAAAGAAUGAAUGGAAGUUCAGAUCGUUAGCAUAUUCAGUAAUCACUGUGCUCACUUCUAAACUAUUGGGAUGAACCUUGGGGGUGUCUUGGCUUUGACUUCUUUGGACAUAGAUGUGGCUUCGCCAGCUGACUGCUGUGAGGACUGUACAGCCUGUGUAAAAAAAAUUCUCUAGACCUGCGAGGGGGUAAACCGCCUCCGAGCAUUAAUGUAAGAAGAAGACCUCUCAUGCAGAUCGAGAAAAUUCCCGAAUCCCUACCCCACCUUUACAUACGGGCACCGUAACCCGUGUGAGAGCGGGCCGAGGUGAGCCUGGACUUAUUUUCAUGUGCUUUAGCGUGUAGGUAGGCGAGAGGAUUUUUUUUAACCUCAACCUGAAAUUUGCUCUCAUCGGGAGUCGAACCCAAGAUCUGAGGAGUGCUACUGAGGCCACCUAACCAAUCCGACUAGGCACCCUUUUGCACAGCCUCUGUAAAAAGCUCUAUACUGUUGCGGACGAUGUCCAUUUUUUUUCAUCCAUGUAUUUUCUUCUCUCAUUUUGUGCGUGUUUGUUGUAAGACCGGACCGAACCCAUGCUACUUACAGAACACUGGCCGAUAACUGUCAGGACUCCAGGCCUUACCGGGCCAUACUGCGUGAAUAAGCUGUCCUGUUUUCUUA